This 441-nucleotide ribosomal RNA is filed under the name uncultured bacterium. Its description in RNAcentral is "bacterial SSU rRNA". It matches the Rfam family "Bacterial small subunit ribosomal RNA", at positions 355 to 786 of the family's 1533-position model. The record is from RNAcentral.
UGAGGAAUAUUGGUCAAUGGGCGCGAGCCUGAACCAGCCAAGUCGCGUGAGGGAUGACGGCCCUACGGGUUGGUAAACCUCUUUUGUCGGGGAGCAAAUUCCGCCACGUGUGGCGGAGUCGAGAGUACCCGAAGAAAAAGCAUCGGCUAACUCCGUGCCAGCAGCCGCGGUAAUACGGAGGAUGCGAGCGUUAUCCCGAUUUAUUGGGUUUAAAGGGUGCGUAGGCGGAACUGUCGAAGUCAAGCGGUAAAACUACGGGGGCAUCAACCUCCGGCCCGCCGUUGAAACUGACGGUCUUGAGUGGGCGAGAAGUAUGCGGAAUGCGUGGUGUAGCGGUGAAAUGCAUAGAUAUCACGCAGAACUCCGAUUGCGAAGGCAGCAUACCGGCGCCCAACUGACGCUGAAGCACGAAAGCGUGGGUAUCGAACAGGAUUAGAUACC